CUGCUUACCUGGCAGGGGAGAUAACAUGAUCAUGAAGGUGGUUUUCCCAGGGUGAGGCUCACUGAUUGCACUCUGGGUGUGCUGACCCCUGCGAUUUCCCCAAAUGUGGGAAACUCGACUGCAUAAUUUGUUGUAGUGGGGGACUGCAUUCGCGUUAUCCCCUG
RNAcentral lists this small nuclear RNA (164 nucleotides) under Echinops telfairi (small Madagascar hedgehog). RNAcentral describes it as "U1 spliceosomal RNA (ENSETEG00000022917.1)". It matches the Rfam family "U1 spliceosomal RNA". Rfam says of the family: U1 is a small nuclear RNA (snRNA) component of the spliceosome (involved in pre-mRNA splicing). Its 5' end forms complementary base pairs with the 5' splice junction, thus defining the 5' donor site of an intron. There are significant differences in sequence and secondary structure between metazoan and yeast U1 snRNAs, the latter being much longer (568 nucleotides as compared to 164 nucleotides in human). Lineage: Eukaryota; Metazoa; Chordata; Mammalia; Afrosoricida; Tenrecidae. The record is from RNAcentral.